UACGAAGGGGGCUAGCGUUGCUCGGAAUUACUGGGCGUAAAGGGCGCGUAGGCGGCACUGUUAGUCAGGCGUGAAAUUCCUGGGCUCAACCUGGGGACUGCGCUUGAUACGGCAGAGCUAGAGGAUGGAAGAGGCUCGCGGAAUUCCCAGUGUAGAGGUGAAAUUCGUAGAUAUUGGGAAGAACACCGGUGGCGAAAGCGCUCUGCUGGACUGCAACUGACACUCAGGGACGAAAGCUAGGGGAGCGAAUGGG
This 253-nucleotide ribosomal RNA is filed under the name uncultured bacterium. RNAcentral describes it as "partial 16S ribosomal RNA". It matches the Rfam family "Bacterial small subunit ribosomal RNA", at positions 524 to 776 of the family's 1533-position model. The record is from RNAcentral.